Molecule: long non-coding RNA, 352 nt
Organism: Lampris incognitus (smalleye Pacific opah)
Lineage: Eukaryota; Metazoa; Chordata; Actinopteri; Lampriformes; Lampridae
Exons: 4
Source: RefSeq, a predicted model, not a curated record
UAUACAUCAUGUAUGAGGACACAGAAAGACGGAAAAUCUGAAAAGCUGUAGGCCAUGACUGCAGACCGGAGAAGAAGACUGAAGAAGAAGAAGGAGACUGGAGAGGGGAGAGGGGAGGACUGAAGAAGAAGAAGAAGACUGGAGGACUGCACUGAUGAACAACGUGGUAGCGAGCACGGAAGGCUACGAGGCGGGCGUAGUAGGCUGGCGCAGGGAUGGAGACGGAGCGCGUGCAGCGCACAUAAGUGUGGCACAACUGACUUGUCAGCACAGAAGAGGCGGGUGUGGUGGCGUUUUUGGACAACGAUGUAGGUGAUGCCUGGCUGAUAGUCUUUCUCCAGUUUGAUGCACG